Molecule: ribosomal RNA, 1000 nt
Filed under: Nonomuraea sp. ZZY-2013
Lineage: Bacteria; Bacillati; Actinomycetota; Actinomycetes; Streptosporangiales; Streptosporangiaceae
Description: bacterial SSU rRNA
Rfam family: Bacterial small subunit ribosomal RNA
Source: RNAcentral
UGAAUGGCGGCGUGCAUACUAUUACAGUCGAGCGGAAAGGCCCUUCGGGGUACUCGAGCGGCGAACGGGUGAGUAACACGUGAGUAACCUGCCCCUGACUCUGGGAUAAGCCCGGGAAACUGGGUCUAAUACCGGAUACGACCGGCUCUCGCAUGAGAUGCUGGUGGAAAGUCUUUUCGGUUGGGGAUGGACUCGCGGCCUAUCAGCUUGUUGGUGGGGUAGUGGCCUACCAAGGCGACGACGGGUAGCCGGCCUGAGAGGGCGACCGGCCACACUGGGACUGAGACACGGCCCAGACUCCUACGGGAGGCAGCAGUGGGGAAUAUUGCGCAAUGGGCGAAAGCCUGACGCAGCGACGCCGCGUGGGGGAUGACGGCCUUCGGGUUGUAAACCUCUUUCAGCAGGGACGAAGUUGACGUGUACCUGCAGAAGAAGCGCCGGCUAACUACGUGCCAGCAGCCGCGGUAAUACGUAGGGCGCAAGCGUUGUCCGGAAUUAUUGGGCGUAAAGAGCUCGUAGGUGGCUGGUCGCGUCUGCCGUGAAAGCCCGCAGCUUAACUGCGGGUCUGCGGUGGAUACGGGCCGGCUAGAGGUAGGUAGGGGCAAGUGGAAUUCCUGGUGUAGCGGUGAAAUGCGCAGAUAUCAGGAGGAACACCGGUGGCGAAGGCGGCUUGCUGGGCCUUACCUGACGCUGAGGAGCGAAAGCGUGGGGAGCGAACAGGAUUAGAUACCCUGGUAGUCCACGCUGUAAACGUUGGGCGCUAGGUGUGGGGAUCUUCCACGAUCUCCGUGCCGGAGCUAACGCAUUAAGCGCCCCGCCUGGGGAGUACGGCCGCAAGGCUAAAACUCAAAGGAAUUGACGGGGGCCCGCACAAGCGGCGGAGCAUGUUGCUUAAUUCGACGCAACGCGAAGAACCUUACCAAGGUUUGACAUCACCCGGAAAGCUUCAGAGAUGGAGCCCUCUUCGGACUGGGUGACAGGUGGUGCAUGGCUGUCGUCA